GGUAACUCUCUCUACUUUGGAAAGGUUUUUACCGGAACCGAAGACAAGAGACCCCCUCAGCAUCAGACGACGAGGUUAGGGGUUUUUACUUCGGUGACGCUGGGACUCUCCCAGAACACCAUGAUGAGCUCCCUCUUGGCCAUUGCCAUGAAACAAAAGCACGAUCAAACUGGCAGUAGCGUGCAGAGCACGCUGUCUAAAGUGUGCAAGUCUGUAAUGGUUACUAAGGUGGCGAUGGACAUGUCAUUCUACGCUCGCUAUCAUCACAGGUUUAACGCUGGCGAAUUCACAGAAGUCGCUCAGGUGAAAGCGCUGAGUGACCCCCGCUACAAUAACGUGAUCCACGAGGAGACUCUGACCAGUAACAGCAAGUAUCAGCUCACCGUGUCCCUCGGCGCGCUGCCCAUGUGCCCGCUCACCCUGGCCAUGAGCAUGAGACAGGCGGUCAUGAUGACCAUGGGAUUUUUGUGCGCAGAACUGGCUCGUGUCAUCUACGCGCCAAAAGUGAAUGACUCCAAUCUGUGCAAGCACCUGGUCUCAUUGACUAUGGCGGCUACAUUCAGACACGGAAAAGAUGAGGAAAGCACCAACGCAUUUGAAGCGUCUUAUGGCAACUUCCUAAAGCUGACAGGCUCGGCUUUCAGCCCCCCAUGUAGAAACGGCAUCAACUUUCACGAACUUGAUGAUAUGGAGUGGUUGCAAGGGGACGACAGCAGUCUUCCAGAUUACAUACACAGGUCACUGAAUAUGAUCGGCGACACUAAGAAGGAGGUACGUAGAAUAAUGCAAGAGAAGAACGUUUCCUACAACAGGGUUUUGUUCAUGAGUGAGAAUGGCGUAAUGAAAUUCGCCUCUGUGUUUGCCAAUGAAGAAUACAUGAUCCACGCACCCAUGAUGGCGGCUUCGAGCAUGAGAAUAUUCUCAAACAACAGCAACAGCUACGGCUCUGUGAAACUGUGCAAGCAGGGUAGCUUCUACCCGUGAAGGUUUUCAGCAACAGGUGCGUUGACACAAAGCUGUACAGUUCCCAGGGGUUCAGAAACUUCGGCUGUCUCUCCGAGAAGACCACCAUCGAUGACAUGGUGGACAGGAUAAAGAGAGAGGUUUCCUGUGUGAUGCCCAGGAUUGAUGUGGCUCGUAUCAAAAUGAUG
RNAcentral lists this long non-coding RNA (1151 nucleotides) under Betta splendens (Siamese fighting fish). RNAcentral's name for it is "lncRNA (ENSBSLG00000018352.1)". The record is from RNAcentral. Lineage: Eukaryota; Metazoa; Chordata; Actinopteri; Anabantiformes; Osphronemidae.